UCAGCAGUCCARRAUAUUAGUCAAUGCUCGAAAGAGUGAACUAGCUACUGAAAUCAAUUAAAAAAAUUGAUAACAUAAGGGAAAAUAAUGAUAUUACCUUAUUAUUAGUGUCGUCCAAAUCUGGUGCCAGAAGACUCGGUAAGGCCAGAGACACAAACGUUAAUCGUCUUAAUCAGGCGUAAAGGGUUUGCAGGCGGCUUUAAAAAUUAUUAAAUAAAUAUUAUUAAAUAAUUAAAGAAUAAAAGCUAGAAUCAAACAGAGGAUAUAUUAAAGAAUGCUUAGAGCAGGUCUGAUAUCCUUAGAUACUAAGUAGAAUAUUAAAGGCGAAAGCUUUUUUCCAUUAAUGAUUGACGCUCAGAAACGAAGGUGAGGAUAGGAAAUAGGAUUAGAUACCCAAAAUACCCCUCUCUGUAAACGAUGAAUGGUAGUUAUUAAUAAAAAUUAUUAUUAAUGACAAUGUUAACACGAUAACCAUUCCGCCUUGUGAGUACAACUGCAAAGUUGAAAACAAAAAAAUUAGUCGGUUUCGGAGCAAACGAAGUGAAGCAUGUUAUUUAAUUCAUUUAAUCCGCACCG
RNAcentral lists this ribosomal RNA (576 nucleotides) under Russula sp. RNAcentral describes it as "partial small subunit ribosomal RNA". Lineage: Eukaryota; Fungi; Basidiomycota; Agaricomycetes; Russulales; Russulaceae. The record is from RNAcentral.